RNAcentral lists this ribosomal RNA (435 nucleotides) under uncultured Flavobacterium sp. Its description in RNAcentral is "bacterial SSU rRNA". It matches the Rfam family "Bacterial small subunit ribosomal RNA", at positions 358 to 790 of the family's 1533-position model. The record is from RNAcentral. Lineage: Bacteria; Pseudomonadati; Bacteroidota; Flavobacteriia; Flavobacteriales; Flavobacteriaceae.
GGAAUAUUGGUCAAUGGGCGCAAGCCUGAACCAGCCAUGCCGCGUGCAGGACGACGCAUCUAUGGUGUGUAAACUGCUUUUAUACGGGAAGAAACAACUCUACGUGUAGAGUCUUGACGGUACCGUAAGAAUAAGGAUCGGCUAACUCCGUGCCAGCAGCCGCGGUAAUACGGAGGAUCCAAGCGUUAUCCGGAAUCAUUGGGUUUAAAGGGUCCGUAGGCGGCCCUGUAAGUCAGUGGUGAAAUCUCCCCGCUCAACGGGGAAACGGCCAUUGAUACUGCAGGGCUUGAAUUAUUGGGAAGUAACUAGAAUAUGUAGUGUAGCGGUGAAAUGCUUAGAUAUUACAUGGAAUACCGAUUGCGAAGGCAGGUUACUACCAAUACAUUGACGCUGAUGGACGAAAGCGUGGGUAGCGAACAGGAUUAGAUACCCUAG